Molecule: long non-coding RNA, 478 nt
Organism: Carassius auratus (goldfish)
Lineage: Eukaryota; Metazoa; Chordata; Actinopteri; Cypriniformes; Cyprinidae
Exons: 4
Source: RefSeq, a predicted model, not a curated record
CUCAUCAUCGAGGGAAUAGAGAACAUCAAAGCUCAUGUGAAAAAGGAGAAAUUUGAAGAUGCAAGAAAGACACUUGGGGCAAUCCUGCAUACUUUACAGGAUUUCUACAGUCACAGUAACUGGAUAGAGCUGGGAAACACUGAACCCUGUACUGCCCUGAUCAAUCCAGACGAGAACAUACCCAACCCUGCAGAAAAAGAACAACCAACAUGUAAGGCAAACUGUGCUAAUGAAAAUUGUGGGGCCACAAUUCUGCAAGACAUUAUUGACAAAAAGAUUUUGACAUCAGGACACUUUGGAGUAAAAAAGCCACCAGGUAAAUGUAGCCAUGGAGGUACUCUAGACUUCACAACUGGCACUGGGAGAAGCUGGGAUGGUAUCAAUAAAGACUACAGGGAUUCCAGUCAUGGUUUACUCCAUAAUAAAGCUGCAGAGGUUGCCAUUAAGGCCAGUGUGCAGCUGCUGGAGAAGAUCUGGA